UUGAACGCUGGCGGCAUGCCUUACACAUGCAAGUCGAGCGGUAGAGGGGCAACCCUUGAGAGUGGCGAACGGGUGAGUAAUGCAUCGGAACGUGCCCAGUCGUGGGGGAUAACGCAGCGAAAGCUGUGCUAAUACCGCAUGUGAUCUGUGGAUGAAAGCAGGGGACCGCAAGGCCUUGUGCGAUUGGAGCGGCCGAUGUCAGAUUAGCUAGUUGGUAGGGUAAAAGCCUACCAAGGCGACGAUCUGUAGCUG
RNAcentral lists this ribosomal RNA (252 nucleotides) under uncultured bacterium. Its description in RNAcentral is "partial 16S ribosomal RNA". It matches the Rfam family "Bacterial small subunit ribosomal RNA", at positions 30 to 289 of the family's 1533-position model. The record is from RNAcentral.